CUCCUACGGGAGGCAGCAGUGGGGAAUUUUGGGACAAUGGGGGAAACCCUGGAUCCAGCCAUUCCGCGUGAGUGAAGAAGGCCUUCGGGUUGUAAAGCUACUUUUGUCCGGUAGCGAAACGGUUACGGUGAAUAUCCGUGACUACUGACGGUACCGGAAGAAUAAGCACCGGCUAACUACGUGCCAGCCGCCGCGGUAAUAC
This 202-nucleotide ribosomal RNA is filed under the name uncultured bacterium. RNAcentral describes it as "partial 16S ribosomal RNA". It matches the Rfam family "Bacterial small subunit ribosomal RNA", at positions 336 to 526 of the family's 1533-position model. The record is from RNAcentral.